GGUGGCUCAGUGGAAGAGUGCUUGCCUUGCAGGCAUGCAGUCCUGGGUUCAAUUCCUCAGCACCA
Molecule: transfer RNA, 65 nt
Filed under: Dipodomys ordii (Ord's kangaroo rat)
Lineage: Eukaryota; Metazoa; Chordata; Mammalia; Rodentia; Heteromyidae
Rfam family: tRNA
About the family: Transfer RNA (tRNA) molecules are approximately 80 nucleotides in length. Their secondary structure includes four short double-helical elements and three loops (D, anti-codon, and T loops). Further hydrogen bonds mediate the characteristic L-shaped molecular structure. tRNAs have two regions of fundamental functional importance: the anti-codon, which is responsible for specific mRNA codon recognition, and the 3' end, to which the tRNAs corresponding amino acid is attached (by aminoacyl-tRNA synthetases). tRNAs cope with the degeneracy of the genetic code in two manners: having more than one tRNA (with a specific anti-codon) for a particular amino acid; and 'wobble' base-pairing, i.e. permitting non-standard base-pairing at the 3rd anti-codon position.
Source: Rfam by way of RNAcentral